Molecule: long non-coding RNA, 506 nt
Organism: Xiphophorus couchianus (Monterrey platyfish)
Lineage: Eukaryota; Metazoa; Chordata; Actinopteri; Cyprinodontiformes; Poeciliidae
Exons: 4
Source: RefSeq, a predicted model, not a curated record
UCAGAUUACUGUAGUUCAGUGAAAACUUGCUAAUCAGCCAUCAUUUGACAUCAUGUGUACUGAAAUAAGGGAACACCUAAAACAUUAUAGGCAGUGUGCCUUGAGGACCAGGGCUGAGAAACACAGAAAUGACAGUAGUAAUCCGUCAUGGGCUAGAAAAGGCAGAAAUAAUUAGUUAGGCAUAAGAAGACAAUCAAGGACAAGGAAGGAACGCUGGAAUACUACUCACAAGGUUUUCAAUAAUUUGGUGAGGAAGCAGACACGGAAGGGAGCUGCAAUUCUAGUGAGCACAGGCAAGAAGAGCCCCUGUUGCUCGUUGUCUGUGGGACUCAGCUCUGCCCCCUAUCAGUGAGACACGGAACACCGCGUGCCACCCACGAUGAAGUGCGCCAGUUUGUGCUGAAGCCAAAAAGGCAAGAAGGCCUGGAAGAUUCUCUUCCUCUGAUUGUUUGUUUGACCUGAAAAGUCUGAGAACCCUGCACAGCCCAUCGCGGUGACACAUCUUC